Molecule: ribosomal RNA, 300 nt
Filed under: Triticum aestivum (bread wheat)
Lineage: Eukaryota; Viridiplantae; Streptophyta; Magnoliopsida; Poales; Poaceae
Description: partial small subunit ribosomal RNA
Source: RNAcentral
AUGUUGUCAAAUAAUAACUUCCUUGGAAAGUGUUGGUAUGGAGGGCACCUGUGGAUACGGUUAGCCAUGGAAAUUGAAAGUAUGGUGAAAAAAGGAAUAAACUUUAUUUUUUGUUUGGGAACCGCCUAUGAUAUAUCUAGCAAGGAAAGUGUUGGGAACUCUAAGUUGUUUUUGUUGGUGGGAAAAGCACACCUCCCAAAAUGUUUUUAUCUCUAUGUUUGUUGCUUUGAGCUCUGGCACCUCUAUAAAUCCCUACUUCCCUCUGUGAAGGGCCUUUCUUUUACUUUCUGCAAUUUUUAA